AUUUGGAAAUAGGUCAUUUCUUAAAAUGUCAACCAUCAAAACAAUCAGUUAUGUUAUUUAAGAAAAUGCGUUGCAAGUUUUGCUGACAUCACGGAGCACAUAUACAGCAGCGUCUCAAGAGGUUGGACCGGACUAAUGAACCUAGCAAGCCAAGCAGGGGACGAUCAGUCCGAUCUUCUCUUUGUUAAUUUUAACCAGGACUGCACAUCACUUGCAGUUGGCAAGAAAUCCGGAUAUAAACUUUUUUCACUUAGUUCUGUGGAAAAGUUGGACCAAAUUUAUGAAAAUGCCUGUGAAGACAUCUGUAUAGUGGAACGUCUGUUCUCAAGUAGUCUUGUUGCCAUUGUUAGUCUUUCAUCGCCCAGGAAACUUAAAGUAUGCCAUUUCAAGAAAGGUACAGAAAUAUGCAACUACAGCUAUUCGAACUCCAUAUUAGCUGUGAAGCUAAACCGACAGAGACUUAUAGUGUGUCUAGAAGAGAGCCUGUACAUCCACAAUAUCCGAGAUAUGAAGGUCUUGCACACAAUCAGAGACACUCCCCCCAAUCCCCAUGGUCUAUGUGCCCUUUCCAUUAACAAUGACAACAGCUACCUUGCCUACCCAGGCAGUAACCAGAUCGGAGAAGUUCAAAUAUUUGACACCAUUAACCUACGUGCUGUGACUAUGAUACCAGCCCAUGAUAAUCCUCUUGCUGCCAUUGCCUUUAAUGCUCAAGGAACCAAAAUAGCCACUGCUUCAGAGAAGGGCACUGUGAUAAGAGUGUUUUCUGUGCCUGAUGGUCAGAAACUGUUUGAAUUUCGAAGAGGAAUGAAAAGAUGUGUGCAUAUAUAUGCCCUUGCAUUUAGUUUCGAUUCAACAUACUUGUGUGCAUCAAGCAAUACAGAAACCGUUCAUAUAUUUAAACUUGAGACUCAGAAAGAGACUAGUGGCAGGGCCCAGGAGGAGCAGUCCAGCUGGUCAGGAUUCAUGGGCCAGGCCCUGAACAUCUCCAAGAACUACCUGCCUGGCGCUGUGUCCGACAUGUUCAACCAGUGGAGAGCAUUCGCUGUGUGUAAGCUGCCCUCUCAGGGCCUCAAGAACGUCUGUGCAAUAGCUAGUAUUCAGAAGAUCCCACGCCUGUUGGUGGCCUCCCAAGAUGGCUACCUUUAUAUUUACAACCUUGACCCUAAUGAAGGGGGAGAGUGCACUUUGUUGAGACAACACAGUUUGGAUGGUCGUAUAACUGAGGGAGGCAUGGUCUCUGAGCCCCCAGGUAGCGCCGCAGACCGCCCUCUCAUACAGGCCUCCAACCCAAUCAGUUACGCAGGCUCCGUACGUCGACCCGAUUCCGGCUCUGACAGCACCCCACCUCGCGGCCACACAGACUAUUCACCACUACCUGGCUCAUACUCCCAGCCAUUUCAAGAAUUUGAAGGUGGGGCAACAGGACAUGACGUUGGAAAUGCAGGAGCAGGCUUACAAGCGCUGCGAUUGGAUGAUGAUAAUGAGUUUCCUCCAAUGACUCAUAAAGUGGAAUGACUGCAAUCUUAUGUUGUGAAACAAUCUUAUUCAGCAAAUGAUCAUGGAAUGACAAAUAUGUUUGCCUAAGUUGUAAACAAUACAACAGUUUUACCAGUAAUACAAUGGAACAGGUUCUGAAUAAUUACAUGAGGAGCCUUUUUUUACAGAAGGUAUUCUUGUAAAGAAUUCAGUUUCCAUCUGUGUUAUAUAAUGUCAUAAAUAGAGGAAGCAUUUUGUCACGAGGGGAAAUUUUAAAUCUAUCACCUUUACAGUGUACAGGUGUGACCUUUAUUUAAUUGUUGACCAAGGUUGUAUAAGACCAUUUAACCAGGACUACAAACAAUCUCAAUGACAAAAGCCAGCUAAAUCUUCAUUGGAAAAGUUAAUAGUAAAUUCAAAACAUUGCUUACAUUUGAACACGUUUGUGUUGGCUAAUAUGAAAGAUAAAAUUGUUACUGAGAACAUUUGUAGUCUGAGUGUCCAUAUAUUAGUGUCUUGUCUAGUCUUUAUUGGAAAGUCCAUGCAAAUUUAAUUGAGGUACUUCUUGUUAAUUGGUACUUUUACUUACUUACACAUUUGCACUGUUACGUUUUAUAUUCGAAUGUAACUACAAUAUUUAUGCCCCCCUUCGAAGAAGAGGGGGUAUAUUGCUUCGCUCAUGUCGGUCGGUCUGUCUGUCGGUCGGUCCGUCCACCAGGUGGUUGUCAGACGAUAACUCAAGAACGCUUGGGCCUAGGAUCAUGAAACUUCAUAGGUACAUUGAUCAUGACUCGCAGAUGACCCCUAUUGAUUUUGAGGUCACUAGGUCAAAGGUCAAGGUCACGGUGACCCGAAAUAGUAAAAUGGUUUUUGAAUGAUAACUCAAGAACGCAUACGCCUAGGAUCAUGAAACUUCAUGGGUAGAUUGAUCAUGACUCGCAGAUGACCCCUAUCGAUUUUGAGGUCACUAGGUCAAAGGUCAAGGUCACGGUGACCCGAAAUAGUAAAAUGGUUUCCGGAUGAUAACUCAAGAAUGCAUACGCCUAGGAUCAUGAAACUUCAUGGGUAGAUUGAUCAUGACUCGCAGAUGACCCCUAUUGAUUUUGAGGUCACUAGGUCAAAGGUCAAGGUCACGGUGACCCGAAAUAGUAAAAUGGUUUCCGGAUGAUAACUCAAGAAUGCAUACGCCUAGGAUCAUGAAACUUCAUGGGUAGAUUGAUCAUGACUCGCAGAUGACCCCUAUUGAUUUUGAGGUCACUAGGUCAAGGUCACAGUGACCCGAAAUAGUAAAAUGGUUUUCGGAUGAUAACUCAAGAACGCAAACGCCUAGAUCAUGAAACUUCACAGGUAGAUUGAUCAUGACUCGCAGAUGACCCCUAUUGAUUUUGAGGUCACAAGGGUAAAGGUCAAGGUCACGGUGACCGGAAAUAGUAAAAUGAUUUUCGGAUGAUAACUCAAGAACGCUUUUGCCUAGGAUCAUGACACUUCAUAGGUACAUUGAUCGUGACUCGCAGAUGACCCCUAUUGAUUUUCAGGUCACUAGGUCAAAGGUCAAGGUCACAGUGACAAAAAACGUAUUCACACGAUGGCUGCCACUACAACGGACAGCUCAUAUGGGGGGCAUGCAUGUUUUACAAACAGCCCUUGUUAAAUUAUAGAUUUUGGUAAUAGUUAGUAGGUUUGAUUACAUUGGUAUUUUCUCUUCCAGUUGUAUUCUCAUAAAAAAAUCUUAUUAAGGCUAUAUGGUGCUGCAUUGUUUUACCAUUGUAAAAUGCUUGUUUUUGUUGUGGCUGGUUUAGACUACUGAUAUUGAGAAACUGAUUUGAUUUUCUGAAAUAAAACAACAAAUAUUUACAAAAAAAGUAUACAUUAUGUAAUUGAAUCAAAAAUAAAUGGUGAGGGGUUAAAACAACUAAAAAAAAAGUGAAAAUGAAAUUGCAACUUGUUGGUAAUAGAUUGCAUAAAGUUACCAUUAAUUACAAGGAAUGUAUGCUUUACUUAUGUUCCAAAGGUUGGAAACCAGCAAUACAUGUUGUGAUGUAACAUAAAUUCAAGUAAUUUAAGAUGUUUCAUUAUUAUUAUUUAUAAAUGAUGUGUCUGUUCUGUCAGAGUUGUAUGGCCUUAAUUUUAUGCUAGAAUGUCAAAUGUUUGGUGUAAUAAGCUGUACAAUAAUUUGUAUAUGGAAAGUGAAAGCUUAUAAGACUUUAUGAGCAGUUUCUUUCUUUUAAUGUGUAACACACCCAUUUGGUCAUUUUGACAAGCAAAUAUAAUUUUAUACAUGAAUUUGUUGGUGUAUUAUUCAUUGCAUUGUUUAAGAUUAAUAAAGUGUUGUAGUUGGCUUAAAUUUGGAAACGCCCUGUUAUAAAUAUGUGAUAGUGGUGUAUGUACAUGGCCUUGAUUGCAUUUUAUUAUUGUGGGCUAAUUUAGUAACUCUUACUAGAUCUACGUAAUUUCUGAAUACAAACGCAAAUACACCUGAGUCCGUGAGUGUAAUGUAUUGAUUAAAACUAUUACUUUCUAAAAACUAUAUUUUGUUCGUGGUUAUUUUUAUCACAAAGUUCGUGUUUGCUUGUGAUGUCAUAUAUUAAAUGAUGUGAUAUUGUAAGUCAUACAGUUCAAUUGAUGGUCCCUAAAACGUGUGUGUGGUGAUGUUGGUUUUCUUCAUACGAAAGAGGAAUGCAAUCCCCGGUCAAAUAAAACAAAUAAACACGACGUCUUCUAUUUAUUACACUGUGUUGUAGUCUGCUGCUUAUUCCACUAUUCAGAGAGGCUGUAUAUACGUUUAAGCUGUUAUAUUGUUUGAACGGCAUGGUCAUUUAAGAGAUUACCGGAUAAUGCCGCGUGCGUAUUUUAAUAUUUACAAUACCCUACCUUAAAUCUAAGACAUGGUUUUACAAUAAAUGUAUAUAACCAUCAUUGUACCUGUACAUUGCGAAUGGAAUGACUAUUGUUAUGUGAUUUUAAUACCACUUUUAAACAAACACCAUACACUCGGUAUAGUAUAUUUUGGCUAGCUGUUUGGUUUGUAUAAUAAAUAAUAUUUUACAUGUUU
RNA transcript from Dreissena polymorpha, 4531 nucleotides. It is a transcript of the gene named WD repeat domain phosphoinositide-interacting protein 2-like, with no coding region annotated. The transcript is spliced from 14 exons. Lineage: Eukaryota; Metazoa; Mollusca; Bivalvia; Myida; Dreissenidae. The record is from RefSeq and is a predicted model, not a curated record.